UGGGCCCGUCCUGUAAAUGAGGUGCGCUUCCUCUGACGCUGCCAAUAGGCGGUGUGCCCUAAACCCGCCAGAUUGUUUAGUUACACCAGAAUGCUAAGACUUUAGAAAAUUGAUUUUACUGAGACUUACCAUUUGCGCUGUUUACCGUGAUCGUAAGCCAAUCAAAAUCCGCCUGCAUGCUCUACCUAACGUCCACGGCUACAGAGAAGGUGUGCCAGAAGAAGGAUGCCAUCGCAGCACUGACCCUGAAGAAGACCGCAAAGACAAGCCAGACACACCAGACAACCACCAAGUGAUCUGGAUGUCCAUUUCUGAAUAAGCGUUAAUGAAUGUCCUGCAGCCAAACAUGUGUUCAUCUGCCCUGCCUGGAGGCCUGCAGCUCUGGAUCCUGGUGAUGGUGACGUCUUUGACUCGAGGUGAGGUGAUCGUCCCUUCCAGUCUGAACGCCAUCGCGGGUCUUCCCUUCUCACUGGGCUGUAACGUCACCAUGGAAACUGGCCACACGGUGAAGGCCGGCCCCCAAACAGACCUUUUCUUGUUUCUACUGAACCACCACAAGAGAGCUGCUUUAAGUUAACCCUCAGUGGUUUUAGCUUCUGUGCCCUCGCCUCUUGAUCAUGGCUGCAGACAUGGAGCAGAACAGUGGGACGGGUCCAGAUCAGACCUCCUUCUGGAAGGGCAUCCAACUAAACAAAAUAAUGGAGCACAGGCUGCAAUGUCACAUCCUGGAAGGCCUCCAGCCUGCCCUCAGCCCAGUUAGGAACAGCCCAAAAUACAGGAGACCAAUGGGCACCCAUGUGACUCAUGCACAUGUUGGCCAGCAGCACCAGGCUGGAGCAGAAGUUGGAGCGAUGCCUGUGGUCCCAGAAGGUUCUGACAGCCAUGGUGACGGCACUGACAGCCAUGUUGACAGCACUGACAGGCUUGGGGUUCUCUGCUUUCUACAUGUUGUACACUGGGGACAAUGCACAGUAGCGGCACCUGACCAUGGAGAACUGGACUUGUGUAUGCAACAUGGAUGUAACGUUGAGGGGCAGAGCACCGACCAACCAAUAGUCGUUGCCAGGGCUGCACAGCUAUCUACCCCAUUGUCACAUACAUAUAGAACCCAUAGACGUUUUACACCUCAGUACAUCAAACACCACUUCCUCCUGCACAAGUUGCUGUACGUGUUUUGUAGGUCGGAAACAAGAAACAGUGCGGAGCCACCACCCAUACCUUGUGUGUUUGGAAAGACAGAGCUUGUUAAAGGGUGAAUGUGACUUGCUCUGAGCAUCAAUAUUUAGCCUGAAACUUUGAAUUGACAUCCAGACAGACAGGUCAAGAGAAUAAUAUAUUGGUUAGUUGGUUUUACGGGGUAGAAUGUGGAAAAGUGCAUUCAGGUUUGUUGUGCUUUUAGGAAUGCAGGGAAUGUACACAGCCAUUGAGGGUAAGUCCAGAUAAUAGUUUCAUUUGAAUGAUUCCCUGCAUUUUCUUUGCAACUGUUCAUGCAUUGGUGUGCCUGUAGAUUCAGUACACAUACAUUUUAGCUGAGGAAGCAAGAAAAUGUUUUACAUUGUAUUAAUUUAGCUGACACUUUUGAACAAAGCAACACACAGAUAGUGUCUAUAAUAACUACAGUAGAUAAUCAAGGAUCAGUGCUCAGUUCAUUUUACUUAACUAAUAUGAUUUGAGCAGAGUAUUCCCAGUCUAUCCCAUCAUCCACUAAUAGGAGUCUGGUGGCUGAGCGGUGAGGGUAUUGGGCUAGUAAUCUGAAGGUUGCCAAAUGACGUUUUGUCCUUGGGCAAGGUACUUCACCCUACUUGCCUCGGGGGGAAUGUAAAUGCGUCUGCUAAAUGACUAAAUGUAAAUGUAAUAACAGCAAUUUGUCUUUUUUUUUUUACAGAAACUCAAAAUGUUGUGCUCACAGAAAUGUCUAAUUCCAUUCCUAAAUGCACCCACCCAUCAUUUGAGGAAAUGAUGGUUGUCAAUUGUGAGAUACAUACAGUGAAUAAUUGGACAUGUAAAAUUUCGUAUCGAUUCGACAACAAUGAAACACACACAAAUUGUGACUCCAGAGUCACCAUGCACAUAGAGAAGGAAGGAACAUUUUUACACUUCACACGUCCAACAGCAUCUGAUGAAGGGAACUACAAAUAUCACAAACAUCAAUGUUUCUUACAAAGAAUCGCAUGCGUCUAUGACUGAAGAAGGCCCCUACCCUAAUGUGAUGAUGAUGAGGGGAGGCUUGGCAGUGACCAUGGUUGCUGUCAUCUUUGUUGGAGUAACUCUGAAGAAAAUACAUCUCUGGAGACUUCACCAGAAAAACUGUGUCCCUUCCAAAGAGUUUUACAUAAAACAUGAUGUCUUUAUGAACUCAAAUGAUUUCACAGCACUUCAGUAUAUGGAGGUGAAGGAUAUUGAGCCGACGAGCCGUACAGCACAUUCAUAUUGAGAACCAAUGGGCUUUACUCAACUGCCCAACUGGACAUCCAGUUGGACUCCCUGUGCUGAUGAUGACUAAUACUAUACACACUGGUCACAACUCUUUUUGACCCUUACCAUAGUCUGCUUCCCGACCACUUUCCAGUAAUAUUAUUUCUUUGGCUCUCUUCCAACUUCAUUACUUAUCAAUAUUGGUUUUCUGCUCACACUCCCCCCCCUCCCACACACACUCAAUAAUCUAUAUUUCUGAUAUUCACAGAAUCAUGUUCCACCUAAAUUGUUUAAAGUGACAUUUGUAAUGAACAAAUACAAUGUUAUCUAAUUUAUUAUUAAUAAAAGUGACUUUGCACCCUUCAUCUGAGUUACCAAGAACAUUGUGGUUUCCUAAUGU
Osmerus eperlanus (European smelt) is the source of this 2815-nucleotide long non-coding RNA. RefSeq lists it as uncharacterized. The transcript is spliced from 10 exons. Lineage: Eukaryota; Metazoa; Chordata; Actinopteri; Osmeriformes; Osmeridae. The record is from RefSeq and is a predicted model, not a curated record.